This 504-nucleotide ribosomal RNA is filed under the name uncultured bacterium. RNAcentral describes it as "partial 16S ribosomal RNA". It matches the Rfam family "Bacterial small subunit ribosomal RNA", at positions 30 to 523 of the family's 1533-position model. The record is from RNAcentral.
AUUGAACGCUGGCGGCGUGCUUUACACAUGCAAGUCGAACUGCAGCACAGCUAGCAAUAGUGGGUGGCGAGUGGCGAACGGGUGAGUAAUACAUCGAGACGUGCCUGAUAGUUGGGGAUAACGCAUCGAAAGAUGAGCUAAUACCGAAUAAUCUCUGAGGAGGAAAGCUGGGGACCUGCGAGGGCCUGGCGCUAAUAGAGCGGUCGAUGGUCGAUUAGUUAGUUGGUGGGGUAAAAGCUUACCAAGGCGAUGAUCGAUAGCCGUUCUGAGAGGAAGAUCAGCCACACUGGAACUGAGAGACGGUCCAGACUCCUACGGGAGGCAGCAGUGGGGAAUUUUGGACAAUGGGGGCAACCCUGAUCCAGCAACGCCGCGUGAAUGAAGAAGGCCUUAGGGUUGUAAAGUUCUUUUGUCUGGGGGCAAAGCGCUAUGGUUAAGAGCUGUAGUGAAUGAGAGUACCAGAAGAAUAAGCACCGGCUAACUACGUGCCAGCCGCCGCCGUAA